Molecule: signal recognition particle RNA, 92 nt
Filed under: Alphaproteobacteria bacterium
Lineage: Bacteria; Pseudomonadati; Pseudomonadota; Alphaproteobacteria
Also listed under: 1 other name
Description: signal recognition particle sRNA small type
Rfam family: Bacterial small signal recognition particle RNA
About the family: The signal recognition particle (SRP) is a universally conserved ribonucleoprotein involved in the co-translational targeting of proteins to membranes. Archaeal SRP consists of a 7S RNA and homologues of the eukaryotic SRP19 and SRP54 proteins.
Source: RNAcentral
AGGGGAUUACCCUGGACGUAGAGCAUUGAAUCUGGUCAGGAUCGAAAGAUAGCAGCCAACGGUGUGUAAGCGGGUCAAGGUAAUCUUCUUCU